RNAcentral lists this ribosomal RNA (208 nucleotides) under uncultured Latescibacterota bacterium. RNAcentral describes it as "uncultured Latescibacteria bacterium partial 16S ribosomal RNA". It matches the Rfam family "Bacterial small subunit ribosomal RNA", at positions 568 to 775 of the family's 1533-position model. The record is from RNAcentral. Lineage: Bacteria; Pseudomonadati; Candidatus Latescibacterota.
CGUGUAGGUGGUCAGGUAAGUGGAAUGUGAAAUGCCCCGGCUCACCCGGGGACCGGCAUCCCAAACUGCCUGGCUUGAGUAUGGGAGAGGAUGGAGGAAUUCCUGGUGUAGCGGUGAAAUGCGUAGAUAUCAGGAGGAACACCGGUGGCGAAGGCGUCCAUCUGGCCCAAUACUGACGCUGAGGCGCGAAAGCUAGGGGAGCAAACGG